UUAAGCGACUAAGCGUACACGGUGGAUGCCCUGGCAGUCAGAGGCGAUGAAGGACGUGCUAAUCUGCGAUAAGCGUCGGUAAGGUGAUAUGAACCGUUAUAACCGGCGAUUUCCGAAUGGGGAAACCCAGUGUGUUUCGACACACUAUCAUUAACUGAAUCCAUAGGUUAAUGAGGCGAACCGGGGGAACUGAAACAUCUAAGUACCCCGAGGAAAAGAAAUCAACCGAGAUUCCCCCAGUAGCGGCGAGCGAACGGGGAGGAGCCCAGAGCCUGAAUCAGUGUGUGUGUUAGUGGAAGCGUCUGGAAAGGCGCGCGAUACAGGGUGACAGCCCCGUACACAAAAAUGCACAUGCUGUGAGCUCGAUGAGUAGGGCGGGACACGUGGUAUCCUGUCUGAAUAUGGGGGGACCAUCCUCCAAGGCUAAAUACUCCUGACUGACCGAUAGUGAACCAGUACCGUGAGGGAAAGGCGAAAAGAACCCCGGCGAGGGGAGUGAAAAAGAACCUGAAACCGUGUACGUACAAGCAGUGGGAGCCUCUUUUAUGGGGUGACUGCGUACCUUUUGUAUAAUGGGUCAGCGACUUAUAUUCUGUAGCAAGGUUAACCGAAUAGGGGAGCCGAAGGGAAACCGAGUCUUAACUGGGCGUUAAGUUGCAGGGUAUAGACCCGAAACCCGGUGAUCUAGCCAUGGGCAGGUUGAAGGUUGGGUAACACUAACUGGAGGACCGAACCGACUAAUGUUGAAAAAUUAGCGGAUGACUUGUGGCUGGGGGUGAAAGGCCAAUCAAACCGGGAGAUAGCUGGUUCUCCCCGAAAGCUAUUUAGGUAGCGCCUCGUGAAUUCAUCUCCGGGGGUAGAGCACUGUUUCGGCAAGGGGGUCAUCCCGACUUACCAACCCGAUGCAAACUGCGAAUACCGGAGAAUGUUAUCACGGGAGACACACGGCGGGUGCUAACGUCCGUCGUGAAGAGGGAAACAACCCAGACCGCCAGCUAAGGUCCCAAAGUCAUGGUUAAGUGGGAAACGAUGUGGGAAGGCCCAGACAGCCAGGAUGUUGGCUUAGAAGCAGCCAUCAUUUAAAGAAAGCGUAAUAGCUCACUGGUCGAGUCGGCCUGCGCGGAAGAUGUAACGGGGCUAAACCAUGCACCGAAGCUGCGGCAGCGACGCUUAUGCGUUGUUGGGUAGGGGAGCGUUCUGUAAGCCUGUGAAGGUGUACUGUGAGGUAUGCUGGAGGUAUCAGAAGUGCGAAUGCUGACAUAAGUAACGAUAAAGCGGGUGAAAAGCCCGCUCGCCGGAAGACCAAGGGUUCCUGUCCAACGUUAAUCGGGGCAGGGUGAGUCGACCCCUAAGGCGAGGCCGAAAGGCGUAGUCGAUGGGAAACAGGUUAAUAUUCCUGUACUUGGUGUUACUGCGAAGGGGGGACGGAGAAGGCUAUGUUGGCCGGGCGACGGUUGUCCCGGUUUAAGCGUGUAGGCUGGUUUUCCAGGCAAAUCCGGAAAAUCAAGGCUGAGGCGUGAUGACGAGGCACUACGGUGCUGAAGCAACAAAUGCCCUGCUUCCAGGAAAAGCCUCUAAGCAUCAGGUAACAUCAAAUCGUACCCCAAACCGACACAGGUGGUCAGGUAGAGAAUACCAAGGCGCUUGAGAGAACUCGGGUGAAGGAACUAGGCAAAAUGGUGCCGUAACUUCGGGAGAAGGCACGCUGAUAUGUAGGUGAAGUGAUUUACUCAUGGAGCUGAAAUCAGUCGAAGAUACCAGCUGGCUGCAACUGUUUAUUAAAAACACAGCACUGUGCAAACACGAAAGUGGACGUAUACGGUGUGACGCCUGCCCGGUGCCGGAAGGUUAAUUGAUGGGGUCAGCGCAAGCGAAGCUCUUGAUCGAAGCCCCGGUAAACGGCGGCCGUAACUAUAACGGUCCUAAGGUAGCGAAAUUCCUUGUCGGGUAAGUUCCGACCUGCACGAAUGGCGUAAUGAUGGCCAGGCUGUCUCCACCCGAGACUCAGUGAAAUUGAACUCGCUGUGAAGAUGCAGUGUACCCGCGGCAAGACGGAAAGACCCCGUGAACCUUUACUAUAGCUUGACACUGAACAUUGAGCCUUGAUGUGUAGGAUAGGUGGGAGGCUUUGAAGUGUGGACGCCAGUCUGCAUGGAGCCGACCUUGAAAUACCACCCUUUAAUGUUUGAUGUUCUAACGUGGACCCGUAAUCCGGGUUGCGGACAGUGUCUGGUGGGUAGUUUGACUGGGGCGGUCUCCUCCUAAAGAGUAACGGAGGAGCACGAAGGUUGGCUAAUCCUGGUCGGACAUCAGGAGGUUAGUGCAAUGGCAUAAGCCAGCUUGACUGCGAGCGUGACGGCGCGAGCAGGUGCGAAAGCAGGUCAUAGUGAUCCGGUGGUUCUGAAUGGAAGGGCCAUCGCUCAACGGAUAAAAGGUACUCCGGGGAUAACAGGCUGAUACCGCCCAAGAGUUCAUAUCGACGGCGGUGUUUGGCACCUCGAUGUCGGCUCAUCACAUCCUGGGGCUGAAGUAGGUCCCAAGGGUAUGGCUGUUCGCCAUUUAAAGUGGUACGCGAGCUGGGUUUAGAACGUCGUGAGACAGUUCGGUCCCUAUCUGCCGUGGGCGCUGGAGAACUGAGGGGGGCUGCUCCUAGUACGAGAGGACCGGAGUGGACGCAUCACUGGUGUUCGGGUUGUCAUGCCAAUGGCACUGCCCGGUAGCUAAAUGCGGAAGAGAUAAGUGCUGAAAGCAUCUAAGCACGAAACUUGCCCCGAGAUGAGUUCUCCCUGACUCCUUGAGAGUCCUGAAGGAACGUUGAAGACGACGACGUUGAUAGGCCGGGUGUGUAAGCGCAGCGAUGCGUUGAGCUAACCGGUACUAAUGAACCGUGAGGCUUAACCUU
This 2902-nucleotide ribosomal RNA is filed under the name Escherichia coli. Its description in RNAcentral is "23S ribosomal RNA". It matches the Rfam family "Bacterial large subunit ribosomal RNA". Lineage: Bacteria; Pseudomonadati; Pseudomonadota; Gammaproteobacteria; Enterobacterales; Enterobacteriaceae. The record is from RNAcentral.